ACGGAAGGCAGCAGUGGGGGAUAUUGGACAAUGGGGGAAACCCUGAUCCAGCGACGCCGCGUGAGUGAAGAAGUAUUUCGGUAUGUAAAGCUCUAUCAGCAGGGAAGAAUAAUGACGGUACCUGACUAAGAAGCACCGGCUAAAUACGUGCCAGCAGCCGCGGUAAUACGUAUGGUGCAAGCGUUAUCCGGAUUUACUGGGUGUAAAGGGAGCGCAGGCGGUACGGCAAGUCUGAUGUGAAAGCCCGCGGCUCAACUGCGGGACUGCAUUGGAAACUGGAGAACUAGAGUGUCGGAGGGGCAAGUGGAAUUCCUAGUGUAGCGGUGAAAUGCGUAGAUAUUAGGAGGAACACCAGUGGCGAAGGCGGCUUGCUGGACGAUAACUGACGCUGAGGCUCGAAAGCGUGGGGAGCAAACAGGAUUAGAUACCCUGGUA
RNAcentral lists this ribosomal RNA (435 nucleotides) under uncultured Roseburia sp. Its description in RNAcentral is "partial 16S ribosomal RNA". It matches the Rfam family "Bacterial small subunit ribosomal RNA", at positions 341 to 792 of the family's 1533-position model. Lineage: Bacteria; Bacillati; Bacillota; Clostridia; Lachnospirales; Lachnospiraceae. The record is from RNAcentral.